UAGGCAUCUGUUUUUUUCGAGGACGGUCUGUUCGUAUUUGUUACUCCACUUUCUGGUAUGAAUUUUACUAUAUCUGUUGUUACAUUCUGCAUCAAUGCCAAUGCUUCAAGUUUUCCGAGUGCCAAAAUGUUGUAGAUAGAAUUGAUUUCUGAAGUCGUGUGGAGUGGGGCGAUCUAUUGAUUAAGGGGGUUCAAGCUCAUUGAUGUUUUGCUGGUUCUUGUCAGAAGAGAUGAUAGAUGAUUGCAACUGUCUCCAAGGUAAUUGCAGAAGAGUCAAAAGCUAGUCCAAUGAAAUGUUGUUUUGAUCUAAGCUCAUCAGGAGGAGGGAAAGCCUUUUCCAUGUUCUGCUAAAAGAAUUGUCUAUGAAAUCUGGUUCACUUUCCCUAAAGAGACAAGGCUAUCAUUAAGGUAUUAAAGAUCAGGAGAGGCAUGUGAACUUUUGGCUAUGGACUUCUUCGUUGAGUACAGUAGAUCCAUUCAAAGAGGCUCCUCUCAUUAAUGAGUGUUCUGUAUCAAGGCAUGUAUUGAACUCUCUUCUUAGGAGGAUUACUCUUACAGUGUAGUUUGUGUUAUAAGAAUCAAAUGUGUAGCAUUCAAUUGGACAUUUAAUUUUUAAUGAACACAUACAACUGUCAUUAAUAGAGUCAAUUACAUGAAGCUUUUCCAACUUUUUGUUAUAUUUACUUGUAAUCAACUCUGAUGUGGGCCACAGAUGCUCCAUGCCUUUCGCUAUUCAUUCCCAAUUAUGUCGUACUAGGUAUGAAUGUAGACAGAUUGGUCUCUGUAGACAUUACCUUCAAACUUUAACUGUUGUUUAUUAU
Molecule: long non-coding RNA, 820 nt
Organism: Cryptomeria japonica (Japanese cedar)
Lineage: Eukaryota; Viridiplantae; Streptophyta; Pinopsida; Cupressales; Cupressaceae
Exons: 4
Source: RefSeq, a predicted model, not a curated record